UUUUUUUCUAAUUUUGAU
Molecule: small nuclear RNA, 18 nt
Filed under: Arabidopsis thaliana (thale cress)
Lineage: Eukaryota; Viridiplantae; Streptophyta; Magnoliopsida; Brassicales; Brassicaceae
Description: snRNA_14377
Source: RNAcentral